Long non-coding RNA from Entelurus aequoreus (snake pipefish), 319 nucleotides. RefSeq lists it as uncharacterized. The transcript is spliced from 4 exons. Lineage: Eukaryota; Metazoa; Chordata; Actinopteri; Syngnathiformes; Syngnathidae. The record is from RefSeq and is a predicted model, not a curated record.
CGACAAGACAAUAUGUGAGCGUAGUUCCAAGUCCUAAAUGGCUGUCAAAGUGUCCCAACUUGUCGGAUUAUAUCCUCAACCAUCUACUUUUCAGUCUGAACACCACACCAGUCCCCCUUUGACGGGAGGGACGGAGCACCUGUAACUGAGGCGUGCAUCUCAUCCUUUCCCUCGGAUGUAAACAAAUCUACCUGUCUGCAGAAAGGCAGGGUACCAACACCGCAUGACUCUGACGCUGUUACUUUAGGACACAGUUAUUACCUGUUUCUAAAUUAGACGGCAUCUGCAGUCAGAUUAUUUUCACCUCAGGAAGAGAGGA